This 497-nucleotide ribosomal RNA is filed under the name uncultured bacterium. Its description in RNAcentral is "partial 16S ribosomal RNA". It matches the Rfam family "Bacterial small subunit ribosomal RNA", at positions 28 to 507 of the family's 1533-position model. The record is from RNAcentral.
GACGAACGCUGGCGGCGUGCCUAAUACAUGCAAGUCGAGCGGACAGACGAGGCGCUUGCUCGGCGGACGUUUGCGGCGGGCGGGUGAGUAACACGUGGAUAACCUACCUAUAAGACUGGGAUAACUUCGGGAAUCCGGAGCUAAUACCGGAGAAUAUAUUGAACCGCGUGGUGCAUUAGUGAAAGACGGUGUUGCGGUCUCUUAUAGAUGGAUCCGCGCCGCUUUAGCGAGUUGGUAAGGUAACGGCUUACCAAGGCAACGAUGCGUAGCCGACCUGAUAGGGUGGUCGGCCACACUGGGACGGAGACACGCUACAGACGCCUACGGGAGGCACCAGUAGGCAAUCUUCAGGCAUGGGCGAAAGCCUGACGGAGCAGGGCCGAGGGAGUGAUGAGGGUCGUCGGAUCGUAAAUCACUGUUAUUGGGGUGGAACAAAUGUGUGCGUAACUCGGCGCGUCUGGACGGUAACUAGGCAAAAAGCCACGGCUAACUACGUG